Molecule: ribosomal RNA, 460 nt
Filed under: uncultured bacterium
Lineage: Bacteria
Description: partial 16S ribosomal RNA
Rfam family: Bacterial small subunit ribosomal RNA
Source: RNAcentral
CCUACGGGGGGCAGCAGUGAGGAAUAUUGGUCAAUGGACGAGAGUCUGAACCAGCCAAGUAGCGUGAAGGAUGACUGCCCUAUGGGUUGUAAACUUCUUUUAUAUGGGAAUAAAAUGUUCCACGUGUGGGAUUUUGUAUGUACCAUAUGAAUAUGGCUCGGCUAACUCCGUGCCAGCAGCCGCGGUAAUACGGAGGAUUCGAGCGUUAUCCGGAUUUAUUGGGUUUAAAGGGAGCGUAGGUGGAUUGUUAAGUCAGUUGUGAAAGUUUGCGGCUCAACCGUAAAAUUGCAGUUGAAACUGGCAGUCUUGAGUACAGUAGAGGUGGGCGGAAUUCGUGGUGUAGCGGUGAAAUGCUUAGAUAUCACGAAGAACUCCGAUUGCGAAGGCAGUUCACUGGACUGCAACUGACACUGAGGCUCGAAAGUGUGGGUAUCAAACAGGAUUAGAUACCCCGGUAGUC